Molecule: non-coding RNA, 2733 nt
Organism: Cricetulus griseus (Chinese hamster)
Lineage: Eukaryota; Metazoa; Chordata; Mammalia; Rodentia; Cricetidae
Source: RefSeq, a predicted model, not a curated record
GUUGGAUAGUGAAGAGACAGAGGGGUCCCUCAGAGAGAAAGCAUCUGACAGUGGAGAGAGAGAGGGGUCCAUCAGAGAGAAGGUGUCGGACAGUGAAGAGAGAGAGGGGUCCAUCAGAGAGAAGGCAUCUGACAGUGGAGAGAGGCGGGGGUCCAUCAGAGAGAAGGCAUCUGACAGUGGAGAGAGGCGGGGGUCCAUUAGAGAGAAGGCGUCCAGAGGAGAGAGGCGGGGGUCCAUCAGAGAGAAGGCAAGGUCAAGUGAUGAGAAGCUGAGGCUGAGUAGAGAGAAAUUAAGGCCCAGUGAAGAGAAGCCUAGGACUGGUGAUGAAAAUCUGGGAUCCACUGGAGAUAAACUGAAGUCAGAUUUUGAGGAAGUACCGUCCGAUGAGAUGAAGCUGGAACAGCAUUCACAAAUGGGAAAUACAGUAGAAGAGAAUAUUGAAAGAGUGGAAAGUAUUACUGGUGAUGAAAGUAUUAUGGAAAAUAUGAGUCUGGAACAAAUUCCUUCUGAAAGUGUACAAGGGAGAGAUGAACAAGAGGAAGCAGAGGAAGGGGUGGAAACUGACAAUACUGUCUUGGAUGAGAUGAAAGAUACCGCUGAUGAAUCUGUUCCUAUGGAAGAAAAAGACAUAACUGGAGAAGGCUCUGGGGAAUCGGGUGGAUGAAGGAGAUUGGAGAAGUAUUGAAAGUCAAAGAGAAGCUAGAGCAAAACAAAACUCUGUUGAUCCCAAAAGGGUAAAUAUGAGUGAGGAUUCUGGAAUUGAAAGGACAGGGAAAUGGAGCAGAGUUACUGGACAUGGAGGCCAAGCCAAUAUCAACGGAAGUGAAGAGUGGGAAAGAGGGAAAUGGGAACAUUUUAAGGAGAAAAAAUUGGGAAUGAAUGCUAAGUAGAAGGAAAGUGACUGCUUCAUUCUUGAACUAUUUGAGAAAUGAGUCUAGGGUGGGCUGGAUUUUGGCAGACAUGUACUGGUCAGGAGUAUGAGAUGUAGGAGAAUGUCAAAAAGAACAAAUUAUAGCAAGAUAAAGGAUGAACAUUGAGGGUUGUGGGAAAAGCAGCAAACAGGUGAUGUGUCUGAAGUAGAUAGCAAAAACUGAGGGGCUCCUGCAGGAGUGAAACAAAGGGGAAGAAGAGUGAUCGUAAUUUUUAUUAAAGGUGCAGGAAAUAAGAAGGCAUAUCCUACCGUGGUGAUUAGGGCUUCCUCUUAGCUCAGGCUGACAUCAAAAUAUCAAUCUUACUGAAUUAAGCCUUUUACUCAUAAUCUACUCUCUGCCCAAGAAGAAGAAAAGGCCUCGAGUAACCAGUGUCAAGACUCCAUUAUCCAGCUGGAGAGUUGGCUCCAUGGACCUAUGUCUACCUGAAAGCAUCAUUUGAAGAUUCCUCUGGUGACUCUAUGAGCUGAGGCAUUGUCAUCUCUUUAAGAGACACCUUGGGCACAAGAUCAAGACAGCAUUUGCCCUGCAUGGGAAAUGACCUACAUGUCAGGAUUUAGAAAUUCUGUCUUUGGCUGGAUGAGUUCUUUGCCUGAGCUGUCAGAUACAUUUCAUCAAGACCACAGACACCAUGAAGAUCAAGUUAUUAUGACAAAUGCCAACUUCCUGUUCCUAAGACUUCCAGAUCAGACCUGCUCCCCAGGUGUUCUCCUGACACUCUUUCUGCACUCACAUCUGGGCUGUUACAUCACAGGACACCCUUUCCUGAGUCCUCCCUCUGCAUCAAAGGUUGCCUAUAGCUCCUUGGACCCAUGAGACACAAGCCUUUUUGACCUACAACCCUUUUCUGGUCUCAGCAGGAUACCCAAACACAACAGUGGACAAAGACCUACUCCCUCGGAGGAGCUACUCAGUCCAAGGCAUUUGGAAACCAGAGACAACAGAGAUUUUUAUUAACCAUCGAACAGACUCCCUCUCUUAAGUUUCUGGCUACCCACUCUCAGCUGUGUCCUCUGCAAAGCUGAAGGAAGACUCUGGAAGCUUGUAUAGGGAGGAAGGCUGAAGCCAUGGUGAUGGGCAAUUCCCAGGUCAAGCCCAGCAACACAACAUUGCCAGUGCAUGGUAAACCUCCCCUCCAGGUGGUCUCCCAGAAGUCCCUGGAAGGAAGGUCAGAACUUGCACAGUCCCAUGGUCCUCAGCCCUCCUGAUGGGAAUGGGGUCAUUGCUUAGCUGGUCAAAAAAAUGUGCCCCAAGAGCCUGUGAGGUAGGGUGACAGAAACGUGCCUAGCUGGCUCCUGGGGUCAUGGCUGGCUGGUGAUGGAAUGGCUCAGCAAGGAGACAAAACACACCCCCUGCACUCCAGUGAUCUGAGGCAUCCAAGCAUAGACUGAGGCCAAUUCCUCUUUUUAAUUUCCAAAGCUGUGGGAAAAACUGCGGCUCCAGUGGCCACCUAACUUAUAGAAGGAAAAUUGAGUCCUGUAACUCCUAACCCCAGGUCUUUCUCUUCACUCAACCAAUGAGGAGAAAUUCUUCCAAGUGCUUAUUUCUCACCCCAGGCAACCCUGAGAGAGGGAGCAACUACCUGCAUGUCUCCUCAUCAGGACAGCUGUAGUAGGUGGCAGCGACCACCCAGAGGUCUAUGUACUCGAUGGGACAAGCUAUAGUGCCAGAUCUUUGUGUUCCUCAGAUCUAUGCUGGGAAAAACCUCUAGAACCUUGUGAAGCAGAGUAUCUUUGUCCUUUGUGAAAGUCAACAUAUGAUCUGUUACUGAUUGGGAUGUGAAAUAAAACUAAAAAUAACACCA